This is a long non-coding RNA of Ananas comosus (pineapple), 1064 nucleotides long. RefSeq lists it as uncharacterized. The record is from RefSeq and is a predicted model, not a curated record. The transcript is spliced from 7 exons. NCBI's taxonomy places the organism in Eukaryota, Viridiplantae, Streptophyta, Magnoliopsida, Poales, Bromeliaceae.
UUUGAACAUCCAUAUCAUUGGGAGUCUGCCAGAGAGAAGUGUGCUGAUGAUCAUGUUAAGACAGAAACUGAAGAAAACCUGAAUAAAUAUUCAGUCCAAUUUGAUGAUUUAUUCAAGAAAGCUUGGGAAGAAGAUGCUAGUGAGCAAGCUUGGCAAGAAGAUGCUAGCAAACAACCGGGAAGUGAUGGUGAAUUUUUUAGUGCAAACAGCCAUCAGAUAGCUGUUCUCUCAUAAGGUCAGUUAAAGCAAAGAGCGAGGCCAUUAAUGUUGUUCAUGAAGCUGAAACCUCUAAUGUUAUUCCUGAAGCUGAAAAUUCUUUCGAUCAGAUAUUAUUGAAUGAGUCGGAGAAAAUCAUAGAGAAGUUUAAUGGAUUAGGUGAUGACAGCAAGAAGAAUGGAGGAGAGGCUGGGGCUCUUGUUGGUGGAACUGAAGAGAUCGUGGGCCGCUUCUAUGAACUUGUGCGGAACAUGGCAGUUGACUAUCCAAUAGGAGGCGAUAUAUUUUCUCGAGAGGGGUGAUUCUAUUUUUGUAGCAGCUCAUACCUAGGCUGGAAAACAGUUGUUGCAGAGUAUGCAUUUGCUUUCGCUUCAAAACAUUGCUCCCGGGCUGGCUAUACUGCUCCUAUCAAAACCAUCAGUAAUCAGAACUACAGAGAUUUCUGUGGAAAGUUUGAUGUCGGCCUUCUUACAGGAGAUGUAAGCAUAAUGACUGAGGCAUCCUGCCUUAUGACUAUCAAAAAUUUAAGGUCGAUGCUUUACCGAGGUGCUGAUAUUAUUCGCAACAUUGAAUGGGUUAUAUUUUGACGAAGUGCAUUACGUGAAUGAUGCUGACAGCGGUGUAGUCUGGGAAGAAAUUAUCAUAAUGUUGCCAAGACAUGCCAAUAUUGUACUCCUUUCGGCAACGGUAUUGACGUUUGCUUUUCUUGGAUCAUUACUUGUUCUAAUUGAGGUUCAUCUCUAGUGUAGAUAUGUUUUUCUAGUGUUUUUCAGGUUGUUUGGCAGGAAUUUUUAUAUUAUGGCCUCUUACUUAUUUGUUAUUCAAAGUGAAAUGUGGCAUCAUCAUCU